UACGUAGGUGGCAAGCGUUGUCCGGAUUUAUUGGGCGUAAAGGGUGCGUAGGCGGCGCCGUAAGUCAGUGCUGAAAUAUCCCGGCUUAACCGGGAGGGUGGCUUUGAUACUGCAGGGCUUGAGUAAAGUUGAGGUAGGCGGAAUUGACGGUGUAGCGGUGAAAUGCUUAGAUAUCGUCAGGAACACCGAUAGUGUAGACAGCUUACUAGACUUUAACUGACGCUGAGGCACGAAAGUGUGGGGAGCAAACAGG
RNAcentral lists this ribosomal RNA (253 nucleotides) under uncultured bacterium. Its description in RNAcentral is "partial 16S ribosomal RNA". It matches the Rfam family "Bacterial small subunit ribosomal RNA", at positions 524 to 776 of the family's 1533-position model. The record is from RNAcentral.